GCACACCACCACUGGAGAGACUGCCCAACGAUUCGGCUUGGAUUGAACUCGAAACAAACUGGCUCACUUUUUCUCAGUGAGUGUAAAUAAGGCACUUAAUUUUUUGCGACAGUAGCAAGGUGUCAAAUGAACCCAGAAAACGUAGCAAGAUUGAUGAAGCUUCGUCUUUCCUGCAGAUUUCCAGCCCAUUUUCAACAUGUCUAAGUUGUAAAUGUUUGUGAUUCAAUCUUUUUAAGCCGAUAUCAAGAAAGGAGGAAUGUUUUAUCUAACGUUACAAACAUACUGAAGACUUACAAUAGGCAUGCAACUUUUGGCCCACAAGAUAACCCUAUUUAUAGGAAUUAUUAAAUUAUUAUUAAAGCUCAAAACUACAAUUGGUUCCAAGGAUCUAUUGUGAUACUGUGGAGUCAUCUGCCAUGAACCAGAAAUAUAACCGCAUGAAAAUAUGCUACAGAAACAAGUCAAGUAUAUUAGAAUAAUAUAGUAAUAGUAAUUUUAAUCUGUUUAACUACCCCUGUACAAUGUGCAAUGUGCAAGUAAAAUGAAGUAUUUCCAAAAUGUAUACAUCGUAUUAAAUUCAAAGACGACCGCUCCAGACAACACAAUCAGUUAGCAAAUAUAUUUUAAUAUAUAAUAUAAUAUUUAUAUUCAGAUUAGCACAAUGACAAAACAGCAUUUCAGUUCAGUCUCAUUUAAACCUUGAUAGGUAAGCCACACCAGAAGGACUUUGUUUAACAAUGUACAUCAUAAUAACACGUUUGAAAGGUGUAAAAUACAUCUUUGAUUUUAUUCUCUUUCAAUGAAAGCCAUUUAAACAUGUGUUCAGCCUGUUGCCAUGGCCUCCAGUGGGUUAAUGUAGAAGAGUUUGACGAACGUAAAAGCUGGAGGAUACAUUAACUGAGCUGUUGCCGAAUUUCUUCUUAAAGAAUGACCAAUUUAGACACACAAUCUGACCAACUUCACAACGAAAACAAAAGACAUCACUUGACCACAUGUUUUUAUUGUUCUUCCCACCGACAUUACUAACGUGUGACUAGCCUGAAAGGUGACUUGCAAAACAUGAGGAGCAAAUUUGAACAGCAUGGAAUAGAUGGAUUUCAAACUCAAUUCAAAUGUUAAAUGUUUUCUAAUAUCCACAAUUCAACAAUAGAAUAUGUUUUAAUAUCCCCAUUACAGUAUUUGAGACAUGUUUUAACCUCCCCAUUACCAGAGUUGAAAUGUGUUUUUAAAUCGCCAUUACAAUAAUUGCCACUUUGACACAGAUACAAUUUGAAUUUUCCACAAAGGAGAAAUAAUCGUUAUUAAUCAUGUUUGCUUGACUUUGCUUGACUGAGUUAAUGGCAUUUUCAUUCAAAAUCAAGUUCCUCUUGUAAUCUAUCCAACAGAAUGUACCAGCUGUCCUCUUGGAGUCCACUCAAACACACACAUUAACCAACCAAUCAAAGCGAUCCAUCUAUCCAUCAAGCAACUUAUCUAUGCCACUGGGAAUCAAUUUAUCAAUCUUCUACACACCACUGUACUACCAAUGAUCCUAGUCUUCGGUCAGUUGUCAACAUUACCUCUACGGUCUACUGCUUGGAAAAGAAGAUGACCUAAACAGGAGGCUUUAAACAAUGGCAGACCUGGCAAGGACCGGCAACAAAAGAGAUUGUUCAAUGUCUCGCCAUUAAAGCAGAGAUUACAACGUUUCUUAUUAGAGCAGUGGUGAAUUCAAAACAAAAUGGCCCCUUUUUGAAGGACAAAUGUCAUCGUCAUUUCAUCCAAAAUUUACAUUGAACACUAAAUCUUCUCUUCCAUCACACUCCCUACUUAUAGUGGUUAUAGUGGUUAAGGCCAGCAUCAAGUUGCACAAUGUUAGCCUCAUUCAUGAUCCUCACAAGAUCCCAACACAACACAACUCUAUUCACGCUACCUCUACUAUUUUAUAGCAUUCUGUGCAAGACCUGCCACGUUUGAUCAUGUAUUUAUCACAUCCACCUCCACCUCCUUAAACUGUAAGCAAAUCACUAAAAUCAAACUUCAGGGACCAGUCAUACAUACUAUCAGAAUUGACAUCACCUGCCAUUGACUUAGCCACACAAAAAACAUAAUUGUCUUCUUUCUCCUAUUGUUAUCUCCUGAGCCUUCUUGAAAUCUUGUAACAUAAUUCUUUAAUAUUUAAUAUUUAAAAUCCUCUUAGAACCAAAAACUCAAAAGCUCAACUGGCGUUUGCUAGCCACAUUUACAGAUCUAGUUUGCGAGCCACGUUUAGAAGUUGUGAAUCUCAUGUGUUUUUAACCUGUUUUUCUCUGAUAUCUAUAUCCUACUAGUUUUAGGAUCAUAACCAUUUCUUUCAAAUACUGUAUAGGAACUGGUGUCUAGAAAAAACGAAAAAUACAUGCUUCCAAAUCCACUAGCUGUUCGUUACCACAAUCAGCUAAUGUUGCCUAGCAUCACUUUGUGCCCCAUACGCCUCAACACUGAGCGAACACCCGUUGAACACUCACAUGAUGCAAGAGGAACCCGCUGGAUCACAAUAGAGAUCACGGCAAAGCAUAAUGAUACGACUAAACCAUGAUAACAUUAUAUUAGCGCUGUAGCCUGACUGCUCUGAAUUCAAAAGGUUUAACAAUGGCGGUCUAAUUGUAGAUAAGCAAACAUAUUUUAAUUCCCGUUAAUUAAUUGUUUUCCGAUUAGUACGCCAUCAGGAUACCUAAAAAACAACAUAGAGGCAUUAAAUAAAUUAAUCAAUCACAAAACACAUUGAUAUAUAUAUAUUCACAAACCAUUUGUACAAUCUAGUCCGAAGGAACAGCAUAGCUGUUAUGCUUUAGGGAGUAUGAUAUUGGUGGAUGGGAUUUGCUUAGAAUCGUUGGUAACUAUUGUCAUGCUCUGUAUAGUUUGAACAAUUAUCUAUAGCUCUUAGUUAUUGUUGUUAUUAUGUACUCAGUCAGGAUGCACUUGGUACAUUGAAAUCCAAAUGUUGACGUUGUUUGCAGCUGAUAUGUUGAUACAUUAUGUGUAAUGGCUGCAGAACAAGACUUCUCAAGUGGACAUUUGGAUGUAGGCUCUCUGUUUUCAGCCUUGAUACACACUAAUGCACAAGCCUGUGUCUGAAAAACAUAAACAAAUAUAAUUGGAUGUCCAAGUUUUUGGUUGCGAUGUUUCCAUGCAUGCUUUUCGCUGUCGUACUACAAGCCCUGGCUCUGUGAACAUAUAUGCAUUGCACGACACCUACAACCAAUGACAGAUGUAUUCUAUUAGAAUUGAGAUGAAACGGCCCCAAUUUUGUGACAUCACAAGUGGGAGUGUUCGCCCAGGAGUAUGAAGGACAGAUCAACCUACCAGCCUUCUUGAUACAGUCCACUGAAUAGGGCUCUACGGAGAUUUGUCACAUACAUUUGAAAUCACAAGUUGCUAUUCAAAAAGCAUUUUAAACAUUGUGUAAAAUGGAAUAUAACGACAAAUUGAAUCCCAAGACCAAACAUCUAUGCUCAUGCUAUGAAAUAAAAACGCCUUGGUGUUAUAUAUCCAUGGUAACUCACUGUUCAACAGCAACUGUGGAAUUCUUUCUGAUAAUAAUGUCCUUGUUUACCAAUGCCUGUUUGCUACAGGCCAUAGCAGUGAAAUACUGCUUCUGGUUCGAGUCCAUGUCGAGUGGUGUCACAGAUUGCAGUUGGAGAGUUUUUUAUUCAGCAGACGCAGUAUAGUUGGGCAGUACUCUGUCUGCCCUUGAUAGGCAUAUUCUGAACUAAUAAUUCAUCAGAUUUCUGGAGUAUGUACAUGAAAUGUCAUAAAUACAUGCCCUUAACAUAAUCAGAAACAGUUGACUGUAAAAUCAUACUUGUAACAAUGUUUAGAAAAGAAAUAGUUAGCUAAUUUGUCGCUGCCAAGAAAUUGAAAAUUGAAUGAAUUGUGAUAGGCCUACUUAAUUGAAUUUAAAAGCGUCUUAGAUGUCUUGGAAUUUGAAGACAUUUUAGAUGGGUUGAUUAGUUUGGUAUGUUUUUGCCCUUGAAUGAAUGGAUGCACAUCUCUUGUGACGUUCUCCAUUUAUAAAACACAAGAGAAAAUAGUUAUAGCGGACAGACGACUGGUUUCCCCCCCCUUUGCUUUACAAGUUAAAAAAUCCCAUUUAGUGGCUAACGUUUUAACGUAAGCAGAGCAAAAGGCUUCAUAUAUAACAUCAACUUAAAUGCAUAGAAAUACAAAUCAAUCCAAUCGUACAACACACUAUAUGGCAAGCAAUACAGAAUACAACAUCCCCGAUCACAGCUACUGGGAAGCUUCAAAAUAAAAGUCUUGGUCAUUGGCACUGGGAACAGGUGAAGGUGUAACUGUUGCAUAUACAUACUGAAGGGAAAAUGGGCUCUUUUGGGGGGAGGUGCAAUCUACCUUGACCUAACCAGACAUUAUGCGUUUUUUGUUUGUUUUUCGUAUUAAAGUCGCAAUGAUGUGUACAUUUCAGCUAGCUCGUAGCUUACCAUAACUGGGAUAUAUCUUUAGUCAGAGCGGACCGAUAGUGUCUUCAAUAAUGCUAACCCACCUACUAACUUGGAGGGGCAUCAUCUAACAUAACAUUGUGAUUUUCAAUCCAAACUCAAACAUGGGACUUUAACACUGAAAUAGAGCCACAUUACAUCUCUGAGAAACACCCAAGUACAACACCGAAGUCCUUCGUUGUCGUUCCAGACUUCCAGUAUCGAUAAACGUACUACUGUCUAAAAAAGUGAGUGGAUUAUUGUUGUUAUCAUUUUUAUUUCCUUUCAAGGAAUGCACGCCAUGUGUCUGUCAAAGGCAAAACAGGACUACAUUGGACGCAAUCUUUCUCACAGUUCAGACAUAU
Molecule: long non-coding RNA, 4822 nt
Organism: Gadus macrocephalus (Pacific cod)
Lineage: Eukaryota; Metazoa; Chordata; Actinopteri; Gadiformes; Gadidae
Exons: 2
Source: RefSeq, a predicted model, not a curated record